Pseudomonas batumici is the source of this 74-nucleotide non-coding RNA. The record is from Rfam. NCBI's taxonomy places the organism in Bacteria, Pseudomonadati, Pseudomonadota, Gammaproteobacteria, Pseudomonadales, Pseudomonadaceae.
GUCUCAGUAGCUCAAUUGGAUAGAGCAUCCCCCUCCUAAGGGGAAGGUUGGCAGUUCGAACCUGCCCUGGGACA